GCCACAUUGGGCAUGGUGGCACAUGCCUAUAGUCCCAGCUACUCGGGAGGCUGAGGCAGGAGGAUCGCUUGAGUCCAGGAGUGCUGGUCUGCAGUGAGCCAGACUGAUGGGGUGUCUGCACUAAGUUCAGCAUCAACAUGGUGACUUUCUGGGAGUGGGAACCACCAGGUUGCCUAAGGAAGGGUGAACUGGCCCAGGUUGGAAAGCUGAAACCAGGCAUAGGCACGGUGGCACAUGUCUUUAAUCCCAACACUCAGGAGCCUGAGGUAAGAGGAUCAUUGUGAGCUCCAGGGCAGCCUGAGACUACAAAGUGCAUUCCAUGUCA
Molecule: signal recognition particle RNA, 325 nt
Filed under: Jaculus jaculus (lesser Egyptian jerboa)
Lineage: Eukaryota; Metazoa; Chordata; Mammalia; Rodentia; Dipodidae
Description: Metazoan signal recognition particle RNA (ENSJJAG00000006726.1)
Rfam family: Metazoan signal recognition particle RNA
About the family: The signal recognition particle (SRP) is a universally conserved ribonucleoprotein. It is involved in the co-translational targeting of proteins to membranes.
Source: RNAcentral